RNAcentral lists this ribosomal RNA (408 nucleotides) under uncultured bacterium. RNAcentral describes it as "partial 16S ribosomal RNA". It matches the Rfam family "Bacterial small subunit ribosomal RNA", at positions 28 to 526 of the family's 1533-position model. The record is from RNAcentral.
GACGAACGCUGACGGCGUGCUUAACACAUGCAAGUCGAAGGGAGUGGCGAACGGGUGAGUAACACGUGCGUAACCUGCCCUUUUCUUUGGGAUAAGCCUGGGAAACUGGGUCUAAUACUGGAUGGAAUGGGCUGGGAUAGCGGCUGAUCAGCUUGUUGGUGGGGUGAUGGCUUAGCAAGGCUUUGCCGGGUAGCCGGCCUGAUAGGGUGGGCUGUCUCACUAGGACUGAGAGACGGCCCAGACGCGUACGGGAGUCGGCAGUGGGGGAUAUUGCACAAGGGAAGAAAGUCUGAUGCAGCGACGUCGUGUGGGGGUGGAAGGCCUUCGGGUUGUAAACUCCUUUCGCACGCGGAAUGGUAGUGGGUAAAGAAGCGCCGGCUAACUACGUGCCAGCAGCCGCGGUAAUAC